This 677-nucleotide small RNA is filed under the name Pan troglodytes (chimpanzee). RNAcentral describes it as "retained intron". The record is from RNAcentral. Lineage: Eukaryota; Metazoa; Chordata; Mammalia; Primates; Hominidae.
CAGCUUUUCUCCUUUUCUCAGAGUUCUGGCUUUGGAAACGGGGCCCCCGGUCGGACCAUUUGGCCUUGUGUCUGGGCUGAUGCUGAGCAGCCACCCUCCUGGUUCUCUGAUACCGAGGGUCUCUUCCCAAAGCCACCUCUGGUCCCAAUGCGAGUGCUGUAUUUUCUGCCUCAGUGCAGCCUGCAGCAUAUUCAGCAUUUCAGGCCGAAAUCCAGUGGUGUUAACAAGAGGGAUCUUUUAAAGUUAAAUUAGAAUUCACAGGACCCAAUAAUUGAUGGCUAGAAAGAGCCUCGAAUUUAUUUGUGCACUCACAGGCUGCUCUUACCUUGUAGCCUCUGUCCGGCUGUGGAGGUCACGUCUGGGCCGGGUGAUGUACUCCAUGGCAAACUGUCUGCUCCUGAUGAAGGAUUAUGUGCUGGCCGUGGAGGCGUAUCAUUCGGUUAUCAAGUAUUACCCAGAGCAAGAGCCCCAGCUGCUCAGCGGCAUCGGCCGGAUUUCCCUGCAGAUUGGAGACAUAAAAACAGCUGAAAAGUAUUUUCAAGACGUUGAGAAAGUGACACAGAAAUUAGAUGGACUACAGGGUAAAAUCAUGGUUUUGAUGAACAGCGCGUUCCUUCACCUCGGGCAGAAUAACUUCGCAGAAGCCCACAGGUUCUUCACAGAGAUCUUAAGGAUGG